This is a long non-coding RNA of Myotis myotis, 208 nucleotides long. RefSeq lists it as uncharacterized. The record is from RefSeq and is a predicted model, not a curated record. The transcript has 3 exons. Lineage: Eukaryota; Metazoa; Chordata; Mammalia; Chiroptera; Vespertilionidae.
GGAGAAGUGAGGGACAUCACCGCAAGUCAGUAAGGAGACAAGUCUCCUUCUCAUCACUCAGGGCCAAUUGGCAGAGAAAGUUCUGAGGAUGAAAAGUUCUUGGUGGAAGAGGUUCCCAUUCCUGCAACCAAGGUGACCUCCACCAUUUUUCCACUGGCAGAGGCUCCAGCCCCAGAUAAGCAACAAAACCAGCCAUGGCUGACGUCAG